CAUUUACGGAGAGUUUGAUCCUGGCUCAGGACGAACGCUGGCGGCGUGCUUAACACAUGCAAGUCGAACGAUGAUGCCCAGCUUGCUGGGUGGAUUAGUGGCGAACGGGUGAGUAACACGUGAGUAACCUGCCCUUGACUUCGGGAUAACUCCGGGAAACCGGGGCUAAUACCGGAUAUGAGCCGUCCUCGCAUGGGGGUGGUUGGAAAGUUUUUCGGUCAGGGAUGGGCUCGCGGCCUAUCAGCUUGUUGGUGGGGUGA
Molecule: ribosomal RNA, 260 nt
Filed under: Cellulosimicrobium cellulans
Lineage: Bacteria; Bacillati; Actinomycetota; Actinomycetes; Micrococcales; Promicromonosporaceae
Description: partial 16S rRNA. Bacterial SSU
Rfam family: Bacterial small subunit ribosomal RNA
Source: RNAcentral